Molecule: ribosomal RNA, 253 nt
Filed under: uncultured bacterium
Lineage: Bacteria
Description: partial 16S ribosomal RNA
Rfam family: Bacterial small subunit ribosomal RNA
Source: RNAcentral
UACGAAGGGGGCUAGCGUUGCUCGGAAUCACUGGGCGUAAAGGGUGCGUUGGCGGGUCUUUAAGUCAGGGGUGAAAUCCUGGAGCUCAACUCCAGAACUGCCUUUGAUACUGAAGAUCUUGAGUUCGGGAGAGGUGAGUGGAACUGCGAGUGUAGAGGUGAAAUUCGUAGAUAUUCGCAAGAACACCAGUGGCGAAGGCGGCUCACUGGCCCGAUACUGACGCUGAGGCACGAAAGCGUGGGGAGCAAACAGG